CGUGUAGGCGGCCAAACAGGUCCGUUGUGAAAACUGGAGGCUUAACCUUCAGACGUCGACGGAAACCGUGUGGCUAGAGUCCGGAAGAGGAGAGCGGAAUUCCUGGUGUAGCGGUGAAAUGCGCAGAUAUCAGGAAGAACACCAAUGGCGAAGGCAGCUCUCUGGGACGGUACUGACGCUGAGACGCGAAAGCGUGGGGAGCGAACA
Molecule: ribosomal RNA, 207 nt
Filed under: uncultured bacterium
Lineage: Bacteria
Description: partial 16S ribosomal RNA
Rfam family: Bacterial small subunit ribosomal RNA
Source: RNAcentral